Molecule: long non-coding RNA, 524 nt
Organism: Sinocyclocheilus rhinocerous
Lineage: Eukaryota; Metazoa; Chordata; Actinopteri; Cypriniformes; Cyprinidae
Exons: 3
Source: RefSeq, a predicted model, not a curated record
GAGGAGACGCUCACGUCUACAUAAAGAGCAGUAGGCGGCGCGUCAGCGAAAGGCUGUCCAGUUUUAAUGAACAGUGACCACGGGCUCUGUCUUUACCGUGGAAAUAACAGUUUAAUAGUACAGUAACGUAUUCUGUUGGGUGGGGCAGUUCAGUGCGGAAAUGUCCAAGUUAUUCCGGGCUGUAAUCAUGGGUCCACCAGGCUCAGGGAAGGGGACCAUAUCCGAGAGGAUCGCGCACAGUUUCGGCCUUAAACAUUUGUCUAGUGGAGACUUUGUACGAGAAAACAUCGCAGCGAAAACUGAGGCUGGUAUUCUAGCUAAGACGUAUAUAAAAAAAGGAUUGCUUGUGCCAGACCAUGUCAUGACGCGUCUUCUGCUGCCUAGAUUGGAGGAGAUGACCAAAUACAGCUGGUUGUUGGAUGGUAUGGUGGUAAAUCCCAUUUAGUAAUUGAUCCUUUUGCUAUAUAUUUUUUUUUGUGUUUAGGACUAAGGUAAAUCUCUUCAGGGGAAGCAAAACUUUCAUU